Molecule: transfer RNA, 69 nt
Filed under: Caulophryne pelagica (fanfin anglerfish)
Lineage: Eukaryota; Metazoa; Chordata; Actinopteri; Lophiiformes; Caulophrynidae
Description: tRNA-His
Rfam family: tRNA
About the family: Transfer RNA (tRNA) molecules are approximately 80 nucleotides in length. Their secondary structure includes four short double-helical elements and three loops (D, anti-codon, and T loops).
Source: RNAcentral
GUGAGCAUAGUUUAGCGAAAACGUUAGAUUGUGAUUCUAAAGUCAAGGGUGAAAAUCCCUUUGCCCACC